Molecule: transfer RNA, 90 nt
Filed under: Peptoniphilus duerdenii ATCC BAA-1640
Lineage: Bacteria; Bacillati; Bacillota; Tissierellia; Tissierellales; Peptoniphilaceae
Description: Selenocysteine transfer RNA
Rfam family: Selenocysteine transfer RNA
Source: Rfam by way of RNAcentral
GGGGGAGAAUGAGUGUCUGGUGUGCUCCGCGGUCUUCAAAACCGUUGUAAGAAAGUUUUUCUUUGGUAGGUUCGAUUCCUACUCUUCCUC